This 336-nucleotide unclassified non-coding RNA is filed under the name soil metagenome. RNAcentral's name for it is "partial contains 5.8S ribosomal RNA, internal transcribed spacer 2, and large subunit ribosomal RNA". The stretch from base 1 to 120 matches the Rfam family "5.8S ribosomal RNA", at positions 35 to 154 of the family's 154-position model. The record is from RNAcentral.
GAUGAAGAACGCAGCGAAAUGCGAUAAGUAAUGUGAAUUGCAGAAUUCAGUGAAUCAUCGAAUCUUUGAACGCACAUUGCGCCCGCCAGUAUUCUGGCGGGCAUGCCUGAUCGAGCGUCAUUUCAACCAUCAAGCCCCCGGCUUGUGUUGGGGGACCUGCGGCUGCCGCAGGCCCUGAAAACCAGUGGCGGGCUCGCUAGUCACUCCGAGCGUAGUAGUUACAUCUCGCUCAGGGCGUGCUGCGGGUUCCGGCCGUUAAAAGCCUUAUUUACCCAAGGUUGACCUCGGAUCAGGUAGGAAGACCCGCUGAACUUAAGCAUAUCAAUAAGCGGAGGA